AAGUCGUAACAAGGUCUCCGUUGGUGAACCAGCGGAGGGAUCAUUACAGAGUGUAACAACUCCCAAACCCAUUGUGAACAUACCCCGCGUUGCCUCGGCGGGCUACCCCGCGUCUCCGGACGCGGGGUCCGCCGGCGGCCCACGAAACUCUUGUCAUUAUUGGCAUCUCUGAACGCAAACUAAAUCAGUUAAAACUUUCAACAACGGAUCUCUUGGUUCUG
RNAcentral lists this unclassified non-coding RNA (221 nucleotides) under fungal sp. RNAcentral describes it as "partial internal transcribed spacer region". The stretch from base 1 to 46 matches the Rfam family "Eukaryotic small subunit ribosomal RNA", at positions 1786 to 1831 of the family's 1831-position model. Lineage: Eukaryota; Fungi. The record is from RNAcentral.